This 279-nucleotide ribosomal RNA is filed under the name uncultured bacterium. RNAcentral's name for it is "partial 16S ribosomal RNA". It matches the Rfam family "Bacterial small subunit ribosomal RNA", at positions 506 to 784 of the family's 1533-position model. The record is from RNAcentral.
UGCCAGCCGCCGCGGUAAUACAGAGGGUGCAAGCGUUAAUCGGAAUUACUGGGCGUAAAGCGCGCGUAGGUGGAUAAUUAAGUCAGAUGUGAAAUCCCCGGGCUCAACCUGGGAAUUGCAUUUGAUACUGGUUGUCUAGAGUAUGGUAGAGGGAAGUGGAAUUUCCAGUGUAGCGGUGAAAUGCGUAGAUAUUGGAAGGAACAUCAGUGGCGAAGGCGACUUCCUGGACUAAUACUGACACUGAGGUGCGAAAGCGUGGGGAGCGAACAGGAUUAGAUA